CCUACGGGGAGCAGCAGUGGGGAAUAUUGGACAAUGGGCGAAAGCCUGAUCCAGCCAUGCCGCGUGUGUGAAGAAGGCCUUCGGGUUGUAAAGCACUUUCAGUGGGGAAGAAAGCCUUGGGGCUAAUACCCUCGAGGAAGGACAUCACCCACAGAAGAAGCCCCGGCUAACUCCGUGCCAGCAGCCGCGGUAAUACGGAGGGUGCGAGCGUUAAUCGGAAUUACUGGGCGUAAAGCGCGCGUAGGCGGUCUGAUAAGCCGGUUGUGAAAGCCCCGGGCUCAACCUGGGAACGGCAUCCGGAACUGUCAGGCUAGAGUGCAGGAGAGGAAGGUAGAAUUCCCGGUGUAGCGGUGAAAUGCGUAGAGAUCGGGAGGAAUACCAGUGGCGAAGGCGGCCUUCUGGACUGACACUGACGCUGAGGUGCGAAAGCGUGGGUAGCAAACAGGAUUAGAUACCCCGGUAGUC
This 465-nucleotide ribosomal RNA is filed under the name Vreelandella stevensii. Its description in RNAcentral is "partial 16S ribosomal RNA". It matches the Rfam family "Bacterial small subunit ribosomal RNA", at positions 338 to 795 of the family's 1533-position model. The record is from RNAcentral. Lineage: Bacteria; Pseudomonadati; Pseudomonadota; Gammaproteobacteria; Oceanospirillales; Halomonadaceae.